Molecule: RNA transcript, 1062 nt
Organism: Triticum dicoccoides
Lineage: Eukaryota; Viridiplantae; Streptophyta; Magnoliopsida; Poales; Poaceae
Exons: 4
Source: RefSeq, a predicted model, not a curated record
UGUGACCACCGUGCGUGCCAUGAGGGCCCCUUCCGGGUUGUCGUCAUUGGCCUGGACAUGAAUGAGGAUGAUGGCGAUUGUGUUGCACACGCGUGCGUGUCCUCGCCGGUGAUGCCCGAGUGGAGCAGGGCGUGCUCGGAUUCUCAUUUUGAUGGGUGGAGCAGGGCGUGCUCUGAUUCUCGUUUUGAUGGCUGGAGCAAGCAGUGCUCUGGUCUUUAUCUUCUCGCAGGCGAUCCAAAAAUUGAUGCACUGCCUCCUGUCCUCGUUGAUGACGCACUUCACUUCAGGCUUACGGAUGACGAUGAGCGUGUAGGAAUUCUCAAGUACGACUUGAGCUCUAAUUGCUUAUCAAUGAUUGAUGUGCCGCUUACGAGGUUGCCCAUUGUCUGGCCCGCUAUCCUCAUGGCAUUGGAGGAUGGCGGCUUGGGGUUAGCACACUUGGACGGGUUAACCCUCUAUCUAUGGUCAAGACAGAUAGAUUCCAACGGAGUUGCGUCAUGGACUCAGCAUAAAGUCAUCGAUCUAAAGGAACUUCUCCCCAUUCAAAAUCCCAAGAAAAGAACUAGUGUUAUUGGAUCUGUCGAGGGCCAUGAUAUCAUUUUCGUGAACAUAGAUCUUGGCAUCUACGAGAUUAAUUUGAAGACACUACAGUGGAAGAAGCUAUGGAAGAGAGAAAAGUUCCGUUCUUUUAUUCCAUACAUGAGCUUCUACAACCGACAAGAAAGGGUGAGGCUGCAAGGCAUUGACAACAUAUGAUUGAAUAUGCUUAAGGGAGGCAACAUGAGAAAUGUUUAUUUGAAGGCGAGGCAACAUACGAUCAGUAGGGGAGGGACUCCAGCAUUUCAAAAUAACAUGAAAGAUUCAGUAUAAAGGAUUCUGCAGUUAACUGCCUAACCUCUCCUUCAAAAUAACAUGAAAGAUUCAGUAUAAAGACGGGUGCCUAGACUCUACACCAGCCAUGGCUUCAGCUGAACUCCAUCCAUCAUUGAACGCUGUGCCUCGAUCCAGUUUUCUCAACUCUCUGUGAUGGAUGCCGUCCAGCAGAUCUCUGUAGGUUUGUUC